Non-coding RNA from Brachypodium distachyon (stiff brome), 137 nucleotides. The record is from Rfam. Lineage: Eukaryota; Viridiplantae; Streptophyta; Magnoliopsida; Poales; Poaceae.
CUUGUACUCUCUCCGUCCCAUAUUAAGUGACUCAAAUUUUCCCAAAUACGAAUGUAUCUAUGCCUAAAAAGCGUCUAGAUACAUGUAAUAUUAAGUCACUUAUUAAGUCACUUAACAUGAGACGGAGGGAGUAUCUA